This 1372-nucleotide ribosomal RNA is filed under the name uncultured bacterium. RNAcentral's name for it is "bacterial SSU rRNA". It matches the Rfam family "Bacterial small subunit ribosomal RNA", at positions 28 to 1381 of the family's 1533-position model. The record is from RNAcentral.
GAUGAACGCUGGCGGCGUGCCUAAUACAUGCAAGUCGAGCGAACAGACGAGGAGCUUGCUCCUUUGACGUUAGCGGCGGACGGGUGAGUAACACGUGGGUAACCUACCUAUAAGACUGGGAUAACUUCGGGAAACCGGAGCUAAUACCGGAUAAUAUUUCGAACCGCAUGGUUCGAUAGUGAAAGAUGGCUUUGCUAUCACUUAUAGAUGGACCUGCGCCGUAUUAGCUAGUUGGUAAGGUAACGGCUUACCAAGGCAACGAUACGUAGCCGACCUGAGAGGGUGAUCGGCCACACUGGAACUGAGACACGGUCCAGACUCCUACGGGAGGCAGCAGUAGGGAAUCUUCCGCAAUGGGCGAAAGCCUGACGGAGCAACGCCGCGUGAGUGAUGAAGGUCUUCGGAUCGUAAAACUCUGUUAUUAGGGAAGAAUAAACGUGUAAGUAACUGUGCACGUCUUGACGGUACCUAAUCAGAAAGCCACGGCUAACUACGUGCCAGCAGCCGCGGUAAUACGUAGGUGGCAAGCGUUAUCCGGAAUUAUUGGGCGUAAAGCGCGCGUAGGCGGUUUUUUAAGUCUGAUGUGAAAGCCCACGGCUCAACCGUGGAGGGUCAUUGGAAACUGGAAAACUUGAGUGCAGAAGAGGAAAGUGGAAUUCCAUGUGUAGCGGUGAAAUGCGCAGAGAUAUGGAGGAACACCAGUGGCGAAGGCGACUUUCUGGUCUGUAACUGACGCUGAUGUGCGAAAGCGUGGGGAUCAAACAGGAUUAGAUACCCUGGUAGUCCACGCCGUAAACGAUGAGUGCUAAGUGUUAGGGGGUUUCCGCCCCUUAGUGCUGCAGCUAACGCAUUAAGCACUCCGCCUGGGGAGUACGACCGCAAGGUUGAAACUCAAAGGAGUUGACGGGGACCCGCACAAGCGGUGGAGCAUGUGGUUUAAUUCGAAGCAACGCGAAGAACCUUACCAAAUCUUGACAUCCUUUGACCCUUCUAGAGAUAGAAGUUUCCCCUUCGGGGGACAAAGUGACAGGUGGUGCAUGGUUGUCGUCAGCUCGUGUCGUGAGAUGUUGGGUUAAGUCCCGCAACGAGCGCAACCCUUAAGCUUAGUUGCCAUCAUUAGGUUGGGCACUCUAAGUUGACUGCCGGUGACAAACCGGAGGAAGGUGGGGAUGACGUCAAAUCAUCAUGCCCCUUAUGAUUUGGGCUACACACGUGCUACAAUGGACAAUACAAAGGGCAGCGAAACCGCGAGGUCAAGCAAAUCCCAUAAAGUUGUUCUCAGUUCGGAUUGUAGUCUGCAACUCGACUACAUGAAGCUGGAAUCGCUAGUAAUCGUAGAUCAGCAUGCUACGGUGAAUACGUUCCCGGGUCU